ACUCAAAUGAAUUGACGGGGGCUCACACAAGCGGUGGAGCAUGUUGCUUAAUUCGAAGCAACGCGAAGAACCUUACCUGGGUUUGACAUGCUUGGAUUAACUCCUGGAAACAGGAGCCACGCCCGCAAGGGUGGAACAAGCACAGGUGCUGCAUGGCUGUCGUCAGCUCGUGCUGUGAAGUGUCGGGUUAAGUCCCUUAACGAGCGCAACCCUUGUCGCUAGUUGCUAACAGGUAAUGCUGAGGACUCUAGCGAGACUGCCGGUGUCAAACCGGAGGAAGGCGGGGAUGACGUCAAGUCCUCAUGGCCCUUACAUCCAGGGUUGCAAACGUGCUACAAUGGCAUGUACAGAGCGACGCGAGACCGCAAGGUGGAGCAAAUCGCAAAAAACAUGCCCCAGUUCGGAUUGCAGGCUGCAACUCGCCUGCAUGAAGCCGGAAUCGCUAGUAAUCGUGGAUCAGCUACGCCACGGUGAAUAAGUUCCUGAGCCUUGUACACACCGCCCGU
Molecule: ribosomal RNA, 506 nt
Filed under: uncultured bacterium
Lineage: Bacteria
Description: partial 16S ribosomal RNA
Rfam family: Bacterial small subunit ribosomal RNA
Source: RNAcentral